This 76-nucleotide transfer RNA is filed under the name Chloroflexota bacterium. RNAcentral describes it as "tRNA-Arg". It matches the Rfam family "tRNA". Rfam says of the family: Transfer RNA (tRNA) molecules are approximately 80 nucleotides in length. The record is from RNAcentral. Lineage: Bacteria; Bacillati; Chloroflexota. RNAcentral also lists the same sequence under 1 other name.
GCCCUCGUAGCUCAGGGGACAGAGCAGCGGACUUCUAAUCCGCCGGUCGGAGGUUCGAAUCCUUCCGAGGGUACCA